Molecule: ribosomal RNA, 561 nt
Filed under: uncultured eukaryote
Lineage: Eukaryota
Description: SSU rRNA
Rfam family: Eukaryotic small subunit ribosomal RNA
Source: RNAcentral
UCUGGUUGAUCCUGCCAGUAGUCAUAUGCUUGUCUCAAAGAUUAAGCCAUGCAUGUCUAAGUAUAAGCAAUUUAUACAGUGAAACUGCGAAUGGCUCAUUAAAUCAGUUAUCGUUUAUUUGAUAGUUCCUUUACUACAUGGUAUAACUGUGGUAAUUCUAGAGCUUAUACAUGCUUAAAAUCUCGACCCUUUGGAAGAGAUGUAUUUAUUAGAUAAAAAAUCAAUGUCUUCGGACUCUUUGAUGAUUCAUAAUAACUUUUCGAAUCGCAUGGCCUUGUGCUGGCGAUGGUUCAUUCAAAUUUCUGCCCUAUCAACUUUCGAUGGUAGGAUAGUGGCCUACCAUGGUUUCAACGGGUAACGGGGAAUAAGGGUCCGAUUCCGGAGAGGGAGCCUGAGAAACGGCUACCACAUCCAAGGAAGGCAGCAGGCGCGCAAAUACCCAAUCCUAAUUCAGGGAGGUAGUGACAAUAAAUAACGAUACAGGGCCCAUUCGGGUCUCGUAAUUGGAAUGAGUACAAUGUAAAUACCUUAACGAGGAACAAUUGGAGGGCAAGUCUGGUA